GAUGAACGCUGGCGGCGUGCCUAAUACAUGCAAGUCGAGCGAACAGACGAGGAGCUUGCUCCUCUGACGUUAGCGGCGGACGGGUGAGUAACACGUGGAUAACCUACCUAUAAGACUGGGAUAACUUCGGGAAACCGGAGCUAAUACCGGAUAAUAUAUUGAACCGCAUGGUUCAAUAGUGAAAGACGGUUUUGCUGUCACUUAUAGAUGGAUCCGCGCCGCAUUAGCUAGUUGGUAAGGUAACGGCUUACCAAGGCAACGAUGCGUAGCCGACCUGAGAGGGUGAUCGGCCACACUGGAACUGAGACACGGUCCAGACUCCUACGGGAGGCAGCAGUAGGGAACCUUCCGCAAUGGGCGAAAGCUUGACGGAGCAACGCCGAGUGAGUGAUGAAGGUCUUCGGAUCGUAAAACUCUGUUAUUAGGGAAGAACAAAUGUGUAAGUAACUAUGCACGUCUUGACGGUACCUAAUCAGAAAGCCACGGCUAACUACGUG
RNAcentral lists this ribosomal RNA (497 nucleotides) under uncultured bacterium. RNAcentral's name for it is "partial 16S ribosomal RNA". It matches the Rfam family "Bacterial small subunit ribosomal RNA", at positions 28 to 507 of the family's 1533-position model. The record is from RNAcentral.